CCCUCUCAUUAACUCAGUUCGUUAGUUCCCGGGGCUCUUCCCGCCCCUUUCUGAUCAGCACCUGCUCCCUUCAUAAGGCAGUGAGAAGUGGGGACAGCGCAGGGCCUCUCUCAAGGUCCCCACGGUCGUGCCCAGCUGAGCCUCCCCCUCUCUGGCUCAAGGACGAUGAAGCUCUGGGGUGUCCUGGUGCUGGCAGGGCUGGCCGGCAGCCUGGUCGCUGGGUCACCUGUGACUGACCCUGCCUCCUCCACCAGCUCCUUUUCCCAGCUGAUGUCUUCUGCCAGCUCUGGUAAGUGUCCCUGCUUGGAGAGCCUGGUGGUGGAUCUCCAUGUUGUGCUACCUGGCAGCAUCCCAGCCUUUGCAUCCACAGCUCCCUUGUGUGGCCCAGAGGCAAAGGGACCCCCCUGAUGGUCUUUCCUCUCCUGUUCCAGCCUUCUCUACUCUUGACCUGAUGCCUCCCACCAGUUUGGCCACUGCCGGUGCCUUGGUGACCUCCUCUGCUCCCUUGGACGACUCGUCUUCCCCCGGGCCAGGCUCUGAUGGUGACACAGAUGACAAUACGGAUGGAGAUGGCAGGGGAUUGCUUGCUGCAUUUUCCCGAUUCAUUGCAAAAGCCAUUCGUUUUGUGUGUGACAAGUACCAAAAGGUGUUUGGGCUGCUGUUUGGUUGAAAGACAAUGAAUGUGGGAGUGGGCAGGGGAAUGGAAGGAGUCUUCCAUCCCUGCAGCAACAUCCACCGCUCACCGAUGCUGAGUCCCGGAUGGUGAUCUUGAUGCCGGCUCCUCUCACAGGGGCUUUGACCCUACCCAGCAGAGCUGACUCCACUGACAUCCGCCCAACCGCAGCAUCUGACCAAUGUCAAAUUCGAAAUAAAGUCCAAACCAUAGAGCUGAG
RNAcentral lists this long non-coding RNA (893 nucleotides) under Apteryx owenii (little spotted kiwi). RNAcentral describes it as "lncRNA (ENSAOWG00000003499.1)". Lineage: Eukaryota; Metazoa; Chordata; Aves; Apterygiformes; Apterygidae. The record is from RNAcentral.